RNAcentral lists this long non-coding RNA (224 nucleotides) under Malus domestica (apple). RNAcentral describes it as "long non-coding RNA (MDOM_LNC014875)". Lineage: Eukaryota; Viridiplantae; Streptophyta; Magnoliopsida; Rosales; Rosaceae. The record is from RNAcentral.
CUGUCUCUCCCAAAACUUUCCACACUUCGAUUGGUAUAUCGUCUGGGCCUACUGCUUUUCUAUGCUUCAUCUUCUUCAAAGCUACAACCACUUCUUCCUUCCGGAUUCUACGAUAAAAAGAGUAGUUUUUACACUCUUCUGAGUUACUCAACUCCCCUAAAGAAGCACUCCUUUCAUGUCCUUCAUUGAAAAGAUUAUGAAAAUAACCUUUCCAUCUGUCUUUA